This 247-nucleotide unclassified non-coding RNA is filed under the name uncultured Sordariomycetes. Its description in RNAcentral is "sequence contains ITS2". The stretch from base 1 to 52 matches the Rfam family "5.8S ribosomal RNA", at positions 103 to 154 of the family's 154-position model. Lineage: Eukaryota; Fungi; Ascomycota; Sordariomycetes. The record is from RNAcentral.
AACGCACAUUGCGCCCGCGAGUAUUCUCGCGGGCAUGCCUGUUCGAGCGUCAUUUCAACCAUCAAGCCCCCGGCUUGUGUUGGGGACCUGCGGCUGCCCGCAGGCCCUGAAAUCCAGUGGCGGUCUCGCUGUAGCUUCCUCUGCGUAGUAGCAACACUCGCACUGGAUCGCAGCGCGGCCACGCCGUUAAACCCCCCACUUCUGAAAGUUUGACCUCGGAUCAGGUAGGAAUACCCGCUGAACUUAA